This 119-nucleotide ribosomal RNA is filed under the name Pteropus alecto (black flying fox). Lineage: Eukaryota; Metazoa; Chordata; Mammalia; Chiroptera; Pteropodidae. The record is from RNAcentral.
GUCUACGGCCAUGCCACCCUGAACAAGCCCGAUCCCAUCUGAUCUUGGAAGAUAAGCAGGGUUGGGCCUGGUUAGUACUUGGAUGGGAGACCACCUAGGAAGAUCAUGUGCUAAAGGUA